Molecule: long non-coding RNA, 1114 nt
Organism: Oreochromis aureus
Lineage: Eukaryota; Metazoa; Chordata; Actinopteri; Cichliformes; Cichlidae
Source: Ensembl
ACGGUUGUUUGAUGUGGCAAUCCUUCAUCUUCGAGAUAACAGCCAGAUGUCAGCGGAUGUCAGCAGGUGUUUUGUCCGGUAUUAAAGAAGCUUUUUAUUUGGAAGCACAGAGGAAAAAGCUCAGAGCUUAUGGAGGUAGAUGACAAAAAGGAUUCUAGAUGACAACUGUUUUAAAAGCCUACUGUCUGGCUGCAAAUAAUGCCGUUUGUGUCAUAAGGGCGUGGGUUGGUCCAGUUUCUCCUUCUCCUGAGUAACCGUCCUGCAGAUAUUCUCCUCCUUAGUGGGCGGAACGCUCUGUUCUCGCUCUCUUGCCUGACACAUCUGGUGCUGAUAAUCGUCAUUAACGCUAGUAUAUGAGGACUAGCUGAUCCGUCCAUCGUCCCCAUUACCCCAGAUCGAGUAGUAAAAAGCCAAAUGCGUUUCCUAGUGCAAACCUGUGUAUUUUUGUUCUCACGUGUUUUCUCUCUACGUUCAUCCUCCAUCGGCUGAAGACCUGUUCAAGUGCAACCCCGCCAAGAUGUUUUCCCUCCUCCACUCACCUCCAUUGCUGCACCUGCCUGCUCACCCUCCACCGCUGCCCUCACCUGCCUGCCAUCUGCUUCCCUCUCUGGAGAACAUUCCUGGGUAUCAAAUGGAUUCCCAUCCUUCUCUGGACCUGGAGGAUUGUUUCCCUGACACCCCCCUGUGAUUAGCUUUGCUCAGCUCCCACAUUCAAUAAAGACCAUAAACCUUUCCCUGCAUAUCUUUUAGGCCUCUGGUUUUGGUCCAACUUUGCCAAUCAACCACACGGCCCUGACAAUUUGAUUAAAAUCCUGUGGCAUAUAUCCAGAAGGCGUCCUUUUGCACCGUUACCUGACACGCAGACCUGGGCUAUGCAGCAGUAAGACAGGUCGUUCCAAACUCAUCACACAGUGACACUUCUAAAGAGCUCAUAUGAACAGACUGUAAGUCCCAUUUUUAUACAUGUAGGGUUAAUGUGAAUGAUUUAACUCACAAUCUUUUUCUAAACCUAACACAGUUUUUUGUGGCACACAGUCAAUAAAAUGCACAAAAGUGAAACAAAUCAGUAAGAACACAAACAAAGUGCUUAUGCCAUCGUCACCUUUCCUCCCUC